RNAcentral lists this ribosomal RNA (429 nucleotides) under Chloroflexota bacterium. RNAcentral describes it as "Chloroflexi bacterium partial 16S ribosomal RNA". It matches the Rfam family "Bacterial small subunit ribosomal RNA", at positions 355 to 776 of the family's 1533-position model. The record is from RNAcentral. Lineage: Bacteria; Bacillati; Chloroflexota.
UGGGGAAUAUUGCACAAUGGGCGCAAGCCUGAUGCAGCCAUGCCGCGUGUGUGAAGAAGGCCUUCGGGUUGUAAAGCACUUUCAGCGGGGAGGAAGGCGAUAAGGUUAAUAACCUUGUCGAUUGACGUUACCCGCAGAAGAAGCACCGGCUAACUCCGUGCCAGCAGCCGCGGUAAUACGGAGGGUGCAAGCGUUAAUCGGAAUUACUGGGCGUAAAGCGCACGCAGGCGGUCUGUCAAGUCGGAUGUGAAAUCCCCGGGCUUAACCUGGGAACUGCAUUCGAAACUGGCAGGCUAGAGUCUUGUAGAGGGGGGUAGAAUUCCAGGUGUAGCGGUGAAAUGCGUAGAGAUCUGGAGGAAUACCGGUGGCGAAGGCGGCCCCCUAGACAAAGACUGACGCUCAGGUGCGAAAGCGUGGGGAGCAAACAGG